AUCUGUUACUGCUGUUGCUGCUAUUCCUAGUGGUAAACCGCUCAGUUCUGAGGAAAGUCGCUGAUCAGCAAACUGUGUCUAUUCCAUGGCUGGAGAGUGAAGCUUUUAAAACAGAAAAUCAGCAAGAAAGCCCUCUGUGUCCCGCUUAAAAGGACAAAGCGAUGCUGAGGCCUCAGCUCCACCAGAGCAGCCAACGCUGGCCAUAGCCUUGGCAGCUGGGGAUUGGGAGCUCUGCUGCAGCCUCUGCGAGCCCAGGAGACCUGAGAGAAACGUGGGCUCUUCCUCAGGAAAGCAGGAGCUGCCACACGCCUCGAAGCUUGUAAAUCCCUUCCAUGGCUGUUCUGAGUUACCUUCGUGCAGUUUAGCUCAUCUGCUUCCAAACUGGAUCAAGGUAAGCCUUAUAAUGCCUACACAGACAGGAGCAGACAACCAUAUACUUGCACAGCGUG
RNAcentral lists this long non-coding RNA (449 nucleotides) under Struthio camelus australis. Its description in RNAcentral is "lncRNA (ENSSCUG00000001702.1)". The record is from RNAcentral. Lineage: Eukaryota; Metazoa; Chordata; Aves; Struthioniformes; Struthionidae.